AAGUCGUAACAAGGUUUCCGUAGGUGAACCUGCGGAAGGAUCAUUAGCGAGUAAGGCCAGCCCUCGUGGCUCGGUCAGUCCCAUCAUAUACACUUUAAUCUGUGAACCCGUUGUUCCUGCGGAAGGCGAAAGCUUCAUGCGACUAACCGUCCUAUGGUUCGGCACCCAUACACCCUUUAUAAAUGUAAUGGAAGCAAUCAUAAUCUAAUAAAACUUUCAACAACGGAUCUCUUGGCUCUC
Molecule: unclassified non-coding RNA, 240 nt
Filed under: fungal sp.
Lineage: Eukaryota; Fungi
Also listed under: 2 other names
Description: partial internal transcribed spacer region
Rfam family: Eukaryotic small subunit ribosomal RNA (bases 1-46)
Source: RNAcentral